AUGGCCAUGAGUAUGGCAACCGGCGCCCUGGGCUCCCUGCUGCCCAAGCUGGUCGAGCUCCUCAAGGAGGAGUACAAGCUCAAGGAGAGCGUCAAGGAAGGCGUCCGAUCUCUUGAGGAAGAGAUGAAGAGCAUGCAAUCCGCACUCCGCAAGGUGGGCGAGGUGCCGCGGGACCAGCUCGACGAGCAGGUCAAGAUCUGGGCAGCGGAGGUGAGGGAGCUCUCCUUCAAGAUGGAGGACAUCGUCGACAAGUUCUUGGUGCGUGUCGAUGAUGGCUUUGAGCCUGCUGCCAAUCCGAAGAAGCUCAAACGGCUCACCAAAAAGAUGGUCGGCUUAUUCACCAAGGGGAAGGCCCGCCAUGAGAUCGCCGAUGCAAUCAAGAGCAUCAAUAAGAAAGUACAAGAGGUUGCAGACAGGCGGGCAAGGUACAAUGUUGACAAUAUUGUCCCUAGGCCUUCUGCCGUGACUCCCAUCGAUCCUCGCCUUGGGGCUCUGUACAAGGAAGUAACGGAUCUUGUUGGAAUUACCGGAACAAGGGAUCAAGAGAUAAUGAAGUUGCUCUCAGAGGGGGACGACACGUCCAAGAAAAAGUUGAAGAUCAUCUCUGUUGUCGGAUUUGGAGGAUUAGGCAAGACAACUCUUGUCAAAAUGGUUUAUGACAAGAUCAAGGGAGAUUUUGAUUGCGCGGCUUUUGUUCCUGUUGGUCGAAAUGCUGACGUGAAGAAGAUUAUAAUGGACAUCCUUCUUGAUCUUGGCUUGUACGAAAGUCAGCUAGCCAUGUUGGAUGAAAGACAACUCAUCAACAAACUUCAAAAAGGUCUCGAGAAGAAGAGGUAUCUCAUUGUAAUUGAUGAUUUAUGGGAUGAAAAUCUAUGGAAAAUUAUCAGUUGGGCAUUCUCUAAUGGCAAUAAUGGCAGUCGGUUAAUCACGACAACCCGUAUAGUCAGGGUAGCCAAAUUAUGCUGCUCAUCCAUUAAUGAGUCAAUCUAUCAAAUGGAACCACUUAGUGAUGAUGAUUCUAAAAGGCUCUUCUACAAUCGGAUAUUUUCUCAUGAGAGUGGAUGUCCCCAUGAAUUUGAACAAGUAUCUCGAGAUAUAUUGAAGAAAUGUGGUGGUGUUCCAUUAGCCAUCAUUACAAUAGCUAGUGUUUUGGCUAGUGAUCAGAAAGUAAAUUCACAUGAUGAGUGGAAGGCUUUGCUAGAAGCUAUUGGUCAUGGACUUACAAAAGACCCCAGUAUGGAGGAGAUGCUGAGGAUACUAUCAUUCAGCUAUUAUGACCUGCCUUGUCAUCUGAAGACAUGCUUAUUAUAUCUAAGCAUGUUUCCGGAAGAUAGCAAGAUCCUGAAAGAUCAGUUGGUAUGGAUGUGGAUUGCCGAGUGUUUUAUCCCAUGUGAAAUAGCACAAUCUAGUCUGUUUCAGAUCGGAGAAAAUUACUUCAAUGAGCUUGUGAACAGAAGCCUUCUCCAGCCACUAUAUGAUGAUUUUGGCACUCUACAUGCCUGUCGCGUACACGACAGUGUGCUGGAUCUAAUUUGUCUUUUGUCAAGGGAAGAGAACUUUGUUAGUGUAUUUAAUGGUAGCAUGUCAUCUCAGGGAAAUGUCCGCAGGCUGUCCCUCCAGAAGAUUAUCAAAGAAGGAUAUCAUACCACACCUCUCGAAUCUAUGAGUAUGCUACAAGUGAGGUCCAUUGCAACAUUUGAACCUGCUAUUAGCCUGUUAUCUCGUCUCUCAAGCUUUGUUGUUUUACGUGUAUUGAAUUUGAGUACAUGUGCACUUGGUGAUCAUAAUCUUCGGGGGUUAUGGAGUUUAGUUCACCUGAGGUACCUAGACCUAUCCCAUACAGGACUUUGUGAGCUUUCGGAAGAGGUUGGAAAGUUGCGGUUUUUGGAGGUGCUGGAUGUGAGUGGAAACCAUGGUAUAGAAAAACUGCCAUCGAGUGUUACCAAACUGAGAAGAUUGAUGUGCCUACUUUAUGAGCAGAGUUGCAAUCGGCUUCCAGGUGGGAUUGGAAACAUGACAGCAAUGGAAGAGUUGAGUUAUAUCCAUGUUGACUCUCUACGCAUUGUGAAAGAGAUGGGCAACAUGAAAAGAUUGAGGAAGUUUGAAAUUGAGUUUGAGCAUAUGAGCUUGGAGUUGCAGGAAGCUUUUGUGAAGUCACUAGGUGAAAUGUCCAACGUCCAAAGUAUAACCAUUUCUAUGGAUGGUAGAUGUAAAAUAAUGGAUCUCUUGGGGGAAAAGUGGGUUCCCCCUCAAGGUCUCCAGGCAUUGAAGUCGAAUUGGAACAAAGCAUGUAGAUUCUCUAGGCUGCCAGCAUGGAUAAGAGAGAACCCCUUGCAGAUGUCGCAGCUCUCAUGGUUACAAAUUGAUCUGAAGGAGGUGCAACAGGGGGAUCUGGGACUGCUUGGAAGGUUGCCGGCUCUUCAUACUCUCGAUUUGGAGAGCCUCCGCCAGGGGCCGCUACUAUUCGAAGCUGAUGGGUUCCGUUGUGUAACAAUAUUCAGCUUGUGGUCCAAUUCGCCGGGCCUAGUCGUGAUCCAGCCAGGAGCUUUGCCCAAGGCGGAACAGGUUACGCUCUAUACCGGUCUGCCGGUCGCAAAAGAGGAAGCAGCCGGCGGCAACGGUGGUGAAUUGUUUGACACGGGCAUAGUGAACCUGCCGUCCCUUCAGUGGGUCGAUGUCGUAUUCUGCACUUCGCUACUACAGCGACAGGAGGCCAAGAAAGCGAGUUCUGCACUGAAGACUACACUCCGUGCCCAUCCUAACAACCCUUUCUAUCGUGUCUCUGUAGAAGACAUAUCCAGUGACGACGGCUGGUGGGAGUGA
RNAcentral lists this ribosomal RNA (2823 nucleotides) under Triticum aestivum (bread wheat). Its description in RNAcentral is "partial small subunit ribosomal RNA". The record is from RNAcentral. Lineage: Eukaryota; Viridiplantae; Streptophyta; Magnoliopsida; Poales; Poaceae.